AGUCCAUCACAGAGCAGCUCGCUUUAUUAGUAAAGGCAAGCUGCCCUUUGAAGGGCUGU
Molecule: microRNA precursor, 59 nt
Filed under: Cordylochernes scorpioides
Lineage: Eukaryota; Metazoa; Arthropoda; Arachnida; Pseudoscorpiones; Chernetidae
Source: RNAcentral